This 240-nucleotide ribosomal RNA is filed under the name Triticum aestivum (bread wheat). RNAcentral's name for it is "partial small subunit ribosomal RNA". The record is from RNAcentral. Lineage: Eukaryota; Viridiplantae; Streptophyta; Magnoliopsida; Poales; Poaceae.
AUGAAAAUUCUAAACUGGAACUGUCGGGGGCUGGGUCAAACCCGUACAGUUCAAGAGCUCGUGUGCCUCUCUAAGACGCACCAACCCAAUGUUAUCUUCCUUUCAGAGACUAGAAAAAAUAAAGAAUAUGACGAAGGUUUGCGUUAUCGUUUGGGUAUGAAAAAUGUGGUUACCUUUUCAGCUCAAGGGAAAGGUGGAGGCCUUGUUGUGUUCUGGGAUGAUGUUUAUAACCUGGAGUUG